This 773-nucleotide ribosomal RNA is filed under the name uncultured Neocallimastigales. Its description in RNAcentral is "partial large subunit ribosomal RNA". It matches the Rfam family "Eukaryotic large subunit ribosomal RNA", at positions 22 to 643 of the family's 3401-position model. The record is from RNAcentral. Lineage: Eukaryota; Fungi; Neocallimastigomycota; Neocallimastigomycetes; Neocallimastigales.
CAUAGCGACUAUCGUGGCAUAUCAAUAAGCGGAGGAAAAGAAACUAACAAGGAUUCCCCUAGUAACGGCGAGUGAAGCGGGAAGAGCUCAAAUUUGAAAUCUUCAAGGUUUGACCUUGACGAAUUGUAGUUUAAAGAAGUGUUUUCGGUUAGAGGAGUAGUAAAAGUUCUUUGGAAUAGGACAUCAUAGAGGGUGAGAAUCCCGUAUUUGACUAUUCUUUCUAGCUUUGUGAUACACUUUCAAAGAGUCGGAUUGUUUGGGAAUGCAGUCCAAAAUGGGUGGUAAAUUUCAUCUAAAGCUAAAUAUUGGCGAGAGACCGAUAGCGAACAAGUACCGUGAGGGAAAGAUGAAAAGAACUUUGAAAAGAGAGUUAAACAGUACGUGAAAUUGUCAAAAGGGAAGCGUUUGACACCAGUGUUGUUUUUCCGAAAAUCAAUUAAAAAUUGAUUCAUGCCAGGUUGUAUUGACCUUAUCAGCUUGCAAUUUGGUUUUGGGUCUCUUUUUGAUGCACUUUUCGGUUAACAAGUCAACAUCAAUUUCCUUUGCUGUAAAAAGGUAAGAGGAAGGUGGCUUCAAUUUCGGUUGAAGUGUUUAUAGCCUUUUAUCUCUGCAGUCGGGGAGAUUGAGGUCUGCAGCGUAGAUCCUUCGGGGCUAGAUACAUUUAUGCUAAGUUAUAGCUUUUCAUAGACAACUUGUUGACUAUGUUUAGUCAUGUAGCUUACUCGUAAGUGCUAUUUUACCUACGCUUAGGAUGUUGAUAGUCACAGCGUGUA